Molecule: ribosomal RNA, 724 nt
Filed under: Acinetobacter baumannii Naval-81
Lineage: Bacteria; Pseudomonadati; Pseudomonadota; Gammaproteobacteria; Moraxellales; Moraxellaceae
Description: bacterial SSU rRNA
Rfam family: Bacterial small subunit ribosomal RNA
Source: RNAcentral
AUUGAACGCUGGCGGCAGGCUUAACACAUGCAAGCCGAGCGGGGGAAGGUAGCUUGCUACCGGACCUAGCGGCGGACGGGUGAGUAAUGCUUAGGAAUCUGCCUAUUAGUGGGGGACAACAUCUCGAAAGGGAUGCUAAUACCGCAUACGUCCUACGGGAGAAAGCAGGGGAUCCUCGGACCUUGCGCUAAUAGAUGAGCCUAAGUCGGAUUAGCUAGUUGGUGGGGUAAAGGCCUACCAAGGCGACGAUCUGUAGCGGGUCUGAGAGGAUGAUCCGCCACACUGGGACUGAGACACGGCCCAGACUCCUACGGGAGGCAGCAGUGGGGAAUAUUGGACAAUGGGGGGAACCCUGAUCCAGCCAUGCCGCGUGUGUGAAGAAGGCCUUAUGGUUGUAAAGCACUUUAAGCGAGGAGGAGGCUACUUUAGUUAAUACCUAGAGAUAGUGGACGUUACUCGCAGGAUAAGCACCGGCUAACUCUGUGCCAGCAGCCGCGGUAAUACAGAGGGUGCGAGCGUUAAUCGGAUUUACUGGGCGUAAAGCGUGCGUAGGCGGCUUAUUAAGUCGGAUGUGAAAUCCCCGAGCUUAACUUGGGAAUUGCAUUCGAUACUGGUGAGCUAGAGUAUGGGAGAGGAUGGUAGAAUUCCAGGUGUAGCGGUGAAAUGCGUAGAGAUCUGGAGGAAUACCGAUGGCGAAAGCAGCCAUCUGGCCUAAUACUGACGC